GCAAGUCGAGCGGAUGACGGGAGCUUGCUCCUUGAUUCAGCGGCGGACGGGUGAGUAAUGCCUAGGAAUCUGCCUGGUAGUGGGGGACAACGUUUCGAAAGGAACGCUAAUACCGCAUACGUCCUACGGGAGAAAGCAGGGGACCUUUGGGCCUUGCGCUAUCAGAUGAGCCUAGGUCGGAUUAGCUAGUUGGUGGGGUAAUGGCUCACCAAGGCGACGAUCCGUAACUGGUCUGAGAGGAUGAUCAGUCACACUGGAACUGAGACACGGUCCAGACUCCUACGGGAGGCAGCAGUGGGGAAUAUUGGACAAUGGGCGAAAGCCUGAUCCAGCCAUGCCGCGUGUGUGAAGAAGGUCUUCGGAUUGUAAAGCACUUUAAGUUGGGAGGAAGGGCAGUAAGUUAAUACCUUGCUGUNUUGACGUUACCGACAGAAUAAGCACCGGCUAACUCUGUG
RNAcentral lists this ribosomal RNA (455 nucleotides) under uncultured bacterium. RNAcentral's name for it is "bacterial SSU rRNA". It matches the Rfam family "Bacterial small subunit ribosomal RNA", at positions 57 to 507 of the family's 1533-position model. The record is from RNAcentral.